GGAUGACGGUACAGAGCUGAACCAGUGAGCAGAGUCGACAGAGGAAUAUUAAGUUUUCAGCCUUUUAUUUUGUGUUUGAAAGUGUUUUCUUUCGUUCCCGUUUCGUCUGUUGUGAUAGACUGUGGUUAUGUUGAACAGUAUUUGUUAAGUUUAAUUAAGAACUGCUGAAGAACAGCGAACUGCACAUGCGAACGCACAUGGACACGGACUGAUCGUGAUGGCGAGCCACCCAUUUUAGGAAUAAUCUGGAAUAACCAGACCUGUUUCAUCGUGAGGAUUCCUUUCUUUUGUGGAGGACGGAGUCAUUAUUCAGCAAAACAGAGGUCCUAUGAGCUUGUUGAACACGCCUGUGCAGACCUUCUUGUCCUGGAUCCAGAUGUGCUGACGGAUUACCACCCUCUAACAGCAUACACAGUUGGUGGAAAGCUGAUGGUGACCCCAAGGACGUUCCUUCUCCAUUAAAGCAACUCAAAAUGACUUUGUUACUUCGGGUAGUUCUUUCUACCAGAGAAGCCUGGCAAGUCCAGCUUCCUGAAGUACCAGCAUCUGUGGGGCAAUUGAUUGAUAUACUUAAAGAGCGACUCAAACUUCCAGGUGAUUUCUCACUACAGUUUGAGGAUCCAGAGUUUGGAAAUGCACUAUUGCAACCUGACAGCAAUAUCUGAAUUACCAGCUGAGCGUGCAGUCCUGCAUAUAAUGUGGAACUGUGAUUCAUCUCCACUUAACUAAUCCACUGCUUCAGUGUCCUCAGUCAGUUCAGUCUUUUCCCAGGACACAGUGUUCACUCUGAAGAUUUCAGGCCUAGCUGGACUGAUUCUAUCCAGAUGAACUUAAGGCAUGUCUAAAAGUGGCCCUCUCCAUUUCUUGUCCCCAAGUUUCCAUAUGAUGUUGAACUAAAAUUUUGUAAGGCUAAUGUGACAUACGAAAAAUCUAAGAAGGGCCUUGCAGUGACAAGUUACAUGAUGACAGAGAUUUUGGAUAAAAUUGCAGAGUUUUUGACAUCAAAGGCUACCCUAAGAAAGAUGAGCUUGAGUCAGUUGCCUCUGCACUGGUUCUCAAGUAUCCAUGUAUGAAGGAGCCAGGUAGCAUCACAGGCUAUGAGGGAUGGAAAGCAAGUAUCAAGCACAAACUUGUAAACUACAGAUCAAAGCUUCGUCAGACAGGCUGCAAUGUGGUAAAUGUAAACAGGAAAAGACAAGGGGGAGAUGAAAAGGGCAGUUCUUUCACCCUUAAAAAGCCCAAACGUGGAGAGGUCAAUCAUGUCCCAGAUUAUCCACAACACAAUGAUGAUUCUACUCUUGAAGAGGAAAGAGUUGCUCUGGUCGAUGAAAUGAAGAAGAAACAAAAGAACAUGACAGUCAUACAGCAGAAGAUGGCACUGACAUUUUCCCUCAGGUGGAUAGAGGUCAUGGACUGUCAACCUAUGGUAUCUGAGGUCCAGGAGAAAUGGCCUGCGUGGUUUUCCUCUGAGUAGAUAUCUGAAGAAUUUCAUUGGAUCACAAGCAAAGACCUCCUGCGGACUUUCAAUGCAUCAUUUGACAAAUUUGUGCCUGGCCUGCUGAAACUGUACCAGUCUAAGAAGGGAGCUCUUGGUGAGAAGAUGGAAGACCUCCUGGAUAAACUUGAUGAACAGACAUCCAUCAUUGUAUCCCACCGAAAGACAGCAGCAUUGAGAGGCCUGCCCAUUUUCCUCCGAGAAGAGGCAACAAAGGUUUUCCUGAAGUUCUUGGACACUGACAUUUUGGAACCAGUGCUGAACGGUGCAUCUGUUGCCAUCCUCACCAUCCUACAAGAUGACGAUGUUGGUACGUCUGUGUGAGACCAGACAGUUGUGUUGGAAGGGGACAUCGUGCUACAUAACAUUCCAGACCUCUCUACUGCCUUGGCAUACCUCUUUGGCCUUCUGUAUGCCCUCAAUAUUGAUUAUCCAAAGCAGAUGAAGUAUACCUUUGAAGCAAUUCAAGCCAUCUUUUUUGAGCUCGGUGGCUCUCAAUGCUCACAGCGCAUAAGGUCUCUGAAAACAAAGCUUUUGCUGUGACUGUUAAUGGGGAAGCCAGACAUGACUUUAACUUGUGUUCUUUAGCCUGUUGAAGUGCAUUUUAGUUGAGUCAUGUAAAAAAACAGUAGUUAAACCCCUUUUCCUCUGAUAUAAUCAUUUGCCAUUUACCAAGAGUUGAAUAUUUAGUGUUUGAACUGUUAAAAUUCAUUAUUGUUCAAGUAAAACUAAUGUAUAAAUGCAAAAAAUAAAAAAAAAUAAAAAAACUUCACCUCUGUUUCAACUGGC
Long non-coding RNA from Sphaeramia orbicularis (orbiculate cardinalfish), 2284 nucleotides. RefSeq lists it as uncharacterized. Lineage: Eukaryota; Metazoa; Chordata; Actinopteri; Kurtiformes; Apogonidae. The transcript is spliced from 6 exons. The record is from RefSeq and is a predicted model, not a curated record.